GUUUUCUGUUUCUGGGGAAAGCGCCCCACCUAGUGUUGGUGUUCAGGAUGGCUCUGAGGUGCGCUGACGGGCUUUCCCUUUUCACCAAGGCUUUCUUUCCUUGGGCAGUGGACUCCUUCCAAGCCUCCUCUCCUCUGCUGCCAGCCUGCAGUGAGGCUGCCCAGCAACACUCCAUUUUGCCAGAGGAAGGAAGGGAGAAGUCUGCUGCUGGCCGGGGGCCGAGGCCCCUCAAAGAAGUGGACCAGCCCAGGGAGAGGCUUCUGGGUACACAGGUUGACAGGCCUCCCUGGCCUCACCUGAGGCACAGGUUGAAGGGCCUCACCUGCAUGCCCAGCCCCAUGUUGCAGAAAACCUGAGCUCUAGGGCCUGGGUCAUCCUUCAACUUGUCCUGUGCUCUGGCGGCCCUCCAGGUGCCUCCUUCUGCACAUACUAGGGAGUGCCACCCUGCCUGCCCCGAAGUCACUGCUGGGUUCUGUGAGUCCUUUUGCCAAAGUUGAAAUUAUAGCUGACUUUCCAUAGUAGAUCUCAAAGACAGACACUUGGAGCUUCGUGUGGCCUUGCCUCCACUAGGUGGAAUCCUGACCAUGGGGUGGGUCUCUCAGGGAUCACUACCUGACAGCUUUCUGCCCCCUCUGGGACCAGACCUACCUCUUAUGUCUUGAGUGGGGGAACUACAGAUACCUCCUCCUCGUUCUAGUUUUUCCAAAAUAGACAAUAACCUUGAAGAACUGUUAUGACAGUGAAAAACAAGCUUAUGCUGGGUUUCAAAACAAUAAUUUUAUCCUGAAAACCUUGAAAUUAUCAGUAAUUCUUUAGAGUCCCAGGGCACCCAGUGACUGACAGUGCAUCACAAUGAAAAUAUAUGUGUGGCCUAUGAGCAUCUGAACAAUUCCAGUAGGACCCCCUCCCCUUUUUUAAAUCAAGGUGAGAUUCUCAACACAAACUUUAACAUUUUAAAAGGACCAAUUCAAUGACAUGUAGUAUAUUCAGUGUGGUGUGACCCCGCCUGUAUGUAGUUUUCAUCACCCCAUAAGGAAACCACUGACCCAUUAGCAGUCUUUCCUCACCUCCAGCCCCCAGCCCCUAGCCCCUGGUUGCUUUCUGGGGCUACAGAUUUGCCUAUUCUGGGCAUGUCAUAUGUUACAUCAGAUUUUUUGGAUGUGGCUCACUG
This 1171-nucleotide long non-coding RNA is filed under the name Marmota monax (woodchuck). The record is from RNAcentral. Lineage: Eukaryota; Metazoa; Chordata; Mammalia; Rodentia; Sciuridae.